Molecule: ribosomal RNA, 253 nt
Filed under: uncultured bacterium
Lineage: Bacteria
Description: partial 16S ribosomal RNA
Rfam family: Bacterial small subunit ribosomal RNA
Source: RNAcentral
UACAGAGGUCUCAAGCGUUGUUCGGAUUCAUUGGGCGUAAAGGGUGCGUAGGCGGCGUGGUAAGUCGGGUGUGAAAUCUCGGAGCUUAACUCCGAAACUGCAUUCGAUACUGCCGUGCUUGAGGACUGGAGAGGAGACUGGAAUUUACGGUGUAGCGGUGAAAUGCGUAGAUAUCGUAAGGAAGACCAGUGGCGAAGGCGGGUCUCUGGUCAGUUCCUGACGCUGAGGCACGAAGGCCAGGGGAGCAAACGGG